UGGGGAAUAUUGCACAAUGGGCGAAAGCCUGAUGCAGCGACGCCGCGUGAGGGAUGACGGCCUUCGGGUUGUAAACCUCUUUCAGCAGGGAAGAAGCGAAAGUGACGGUACCUGCAGAAGAAGCGCCGGCUAACUACGUGCCAGCAGCCGCGGUAAUACGUAGGGCGCAAGCGUUGUCCGGAAUUAUUGGGCGUAAAGAGCUCGUAGGCGGUUAGUCGCGUCUGCUGUGAAAACUCGAGGCUCAACCUCGGGCUUGCAGUGGGUACGGGCUGACUAGAGUGCGGUAGGGGUGACUGGAAUUCCUGGUGUAGCGGUGGAAUGCGCAGAUAUCAGGAGGAACACCGAUGGCGAAGGCAGGUCACUGGGCCGCAACUGACGCUGAGGAGCGAAAGCAUGGGGAGCGAACAGGAUUAGAUACCCUGGUAGUCCAUGCCGUAAACGUUGGGCACUAGGUGUGGGUCCAUUCCACGGAUUCCGUGCCGCAGCAAAGCGCAUUAAGUGCCCCGCCUGGGGAGUACGGCCGCAAGGCUAAACUCAAAGGAAUUGACGGGGUCAUAGCUGUUU
RNAcentral lists this ribosomal RNA (564 nucleotides) under uncultured bacterium. RNAcentral describes it as "partial 16S ribosomal RNA". It matches the Rfam family "Bacterial small subunit ribosomal RNA", at positions 355 to 935 of the family's 1533-position model. The record is from RNAcentral.